Molecule: ribosomal RNA, 440 nt
Filed under: uncultured bacterium
Lineage: Bacteria
Description: partial 16S ribosomal RNA
Rfam family: Bacterial small subunit ribosomal RNA
Source: RNAcentral
CCUACGGGUCGCAGCAGUGGGGGAUAUUGCACAAUGGGGGGAACCCUGAUGCAGCGACGCCGCGUGGGUGAAGGAGCGUUUCGGCGCGUAAAGCCCUAUCGGCAGGGAAGAAGCUGACGGUACCUGACCAAGAAGCCCCGGCUAACUACUUGCCAGCAGCCGCGGUAACACGUGGGGCGCAAGCGAUAUCCGGUUGUACUGGGUGUAAAGGGGGCGCACGCGGCAAUGCAAGCACGGAGUGAAUGCCCUGGGGCUAACCCCGGGACUGCUCUUGGAACUGCAUGGCUGGAGUACAGGAGGGGCAGGCGGAAUUCCGGGUGUAGCGGUGAAAUGCGUAGAUAUUAGGAGGAACACCGGUGGCGAAGGCGGCCUGCUGGACUGUGACUGACGUUGAGGCCCGAAGGCGUGGGGAGCAAACAGGAUUAGAUACCCUAGUAGUC